CAUUAUUCAGGUCUAAGGAAAAAGUAGACAGAUAGAAUGUAAAAAAGCAGUCCAAAAUGAUAAAGAGGACAGGUCAACUAUUUACUGUUGAUGACUCCAACA
Vicugna pacos (alpaca) is the source of this 102-nucleotide non-coding RNA. NCBI's taxonomy places the organism in Eukaryota, Metazoa, Chordata, Mammalia, Artiodactyla, Camelidae. The record is from RefSeq and is a predicted model, not a curated record.